This 187-nucleotide unclassified non-coding RNA is filed under the name plant metagenome. RNAcentral describes it as "partial contains small subunit ribosomal RNA and internal transcribed spacer 1". The stretch from base 1 to 46 matches the Rfam family "Eukaryotic small subunit ribosomal RNA", at positions 1786 to 1831 of the family's 1831-position model. The record is from RNAcentral.
AAGUCGUAACAAGGUUUCCGUAGGUGAACCUGCGGAAGGAUCAUUAAAGAGAUAGCUCUGCCCUAACCAGGCAGGAUAGCCCUCCAACCGUGCCUAUAUACUAUGUUGCUUUCCGGGCUCACCCCCGGAGAGGACCAAACCAAACUCUUGAAUUCAUUACUGUCUGAGUACUAUAUAAUAGUUAAAA